AUAAACUCUUCCUUCUACGCACUUCUCGGCAUCAAAAUUCAGAUUGUAACUCAGCUCGAUCUCGAUUAUCUUUAUCGAAAACAUGGGUUUGAAGGAAGAAUUUGAGGAGUAUGCUGAGAAAGCUAAGACCUUGCCUGAGAGCACUUCAAAUGAAAACAGGCUCAUUCUAUAUGGACUCUACAAGCAAGCUACAGUUGGAAAUGUCAACACGAGUCGUCCCGGUAUGUUUAACAUGAGGGACAGGGCGAAGUGGGAUGCAUGGAAGGCCGUUGAAGGAAAAACUAAGGAGCAAGCAAUGAGUGAUUACAUCACCAAGGUGAAGCAGUUACUGGAAUAAGCUGCAGCUUCGUGCUGAUUACAAGCUUUCAUCGUCUAUGAGUUGCUCGUAUUAGACUACCCAUGAUCUAUCACAAUAAAAGAGUAGUAAAGGUGGGGAUGGGAAAGAACAUGUGAGAAUAAAUGAAGAUGGAAGAAGGAAGGCUGAACAACUAACAGGUUUUGCAGUUACUAAUUUUAUUGCUUUUAAUUAGUGGUAGUAGUUAAUCAAUAAAUGAUGUUAGGCCCCAUAUAAACCCUUGAGGUUUGGAGGGGACUAACAAUCGCCUUUUCAUCUCUAACACACUUUCUACCAUUCUUAUAUUCUUAGGCUUUAAUAUGAUUGCAUUUGAGAAAGGAUUGAAUGAGAAGGCUUUGCCUCUCAAUUGAAAAGGUUAAAAAUUCAUUUAGAGUUGAUAACGAUAAAUUCUAGUAAAAUAUUAAUGAUUGAAGUCAAUAUUGACUAUUAUUCAAGUGAAAUUCAUGAAUAAACUAAUCCUUAAUAUAAAUGGAUUUAAUUUUUAGAUUGGUUUCCACUUUUCAUAGUUGCUUAUUCUUUCUUAUGUAGAAAUUUUUUUAUUACGUAUAGGAUAUUCAAUUCGAUCCAUUGUCCUAUAAAUAAGAGAGUGGGGAUCGAAUUCUAGAGCAGUUCCUCAGCUCUUUGAAAUUCUACAAGCUAUGAUACGUUCUCUCAGUUCCAUUUCAUGUGAGACAUUUCUUUUAGACAGAGAUUUUUAAGAGAAAGAAAAAGUAAGAGAGAGGAUAAAGUAAGAGAGAUACAUAGUUAUUUUUUUUAAUAAAAAGGAGAAAUGUAAUGGGACGGAGGAGCUGAGCCGAUUCUUAAUUUAUUUAUUUAUAUAUUAUUUUUUAAUUAAAUAUUAAUAUUAGAAUUAGUUAUGCUCUGUUAUGUUAUUUUUUAAUUUAAUGGAGUACCACUUUAUUUGUCCACAAAAUUAGUUUUAAUUUUAUUUCAGUUUGUUUACCAAAAUUAAUUACAUUUAAGAUAACUUUGUGAUUG
Molecule: RNA transcript, 1333 nt
Organism: Salvia splendens (bonfire salvia)
Lineage: Eukaryota; Viridiplantae; Streptophyta; Magnoliopsida; Lamiales; Lamiaceae
Gene name: acyl-CoA-binding protein
Exons: 5
Source: RefSeq, a predicted model, not a curated record